UGCCAAUCCAACAAGCAAAGCUUGAUUCGAGUUUCAAUUGUAAUCAAGAAACUAAAAAUUUUCGACGUUUUGUUGUUGGAAAGUUGAUAAGUUUGGAAUUAAAAAAUAAUUCUAUUGAAAGACAUCUAAAGCUUAUUAUAGAAAAACUUCCAAUUACUAAUUUUGAAGAAAAAGAAAAUGUUGUAGACAUUUUUCAAGACUUGCCAUUGCAAAAUAAAAAUGAUCUUGACGUAAUCGAAGCAAAACUAAUUAAUGAUAAAAGUUAUCGAAGUCAAAUGAUUAAACAAUUGACUCGUGUUACAUGUAAAGAUAUAAAGACUUCGUG
Long non-coding RNA from Camponotus floridanus (Florida carpenter ant), 325 nucleotides. RefSeq lists it as uncharacterized. Lineage: Eukaryota; Metazoa; Arthropoda; Insecta; Hymenoptera; Formicidae. The transcript has 3 exons. The record is from RefSeq and is a predicted model, not a curated record.